Molecule: unclassified non-coding RNA, 161 nt
Organism: Cavia porcellus (domestic guinea pig)
Lineage: Eukaryota; Metazoa; Chordata; Mammalia; Rodentia; Caviidae
Source: Ensembl
UCCGGAGGACACGAGGUCUCUAUUGCACCUGCGCGGUUCGCCCGCGUGCGCGCGCGGUUCUGCCGUGCCUGCGAAUCUCGGCGCGCGCACGCCGACGGGUCUGGUGGGCUCCUCCCUACAGCCUGAAUCGGUCUGAGCAUCUGUGUAGUCUGCGGCGAGUG